UCUCCGUAGUUGAACCUGCGGAGGGAUCAUUACUGAGUGAGGGCUUCGGUCCGACCUCCAACCCUUUGUGAACCAGACUUGUUGCUUCGGGGGCGACCCUGCCGCUUCGACGGCGAGCGCCCCCGGAGGCCUUCAAACACUGCAUCUUUGCGUCGGAGUUUAAGUAAAUUAAACAAAACUUUCGACAACGGAUCUCGUGGUUCUGGCAUCGAUGAAGAACGCAGC
Molecule: unclassified non-coding RNA, 225 nt
Filed under: uncultured fungus
Lineage: Eukaryota; Fungi
Description: sequence contains ITS1, 5.8S rRNA gene
Rfam family: 5.8S ribosomal RNA (bases 177-225)
Source: RNAcentral